AAGACUUCUACCAGCUUGUCCCUUUCCUGGGAUGUUACACCCCGGCCUCGGGCCCUACCCCCUCCCAUCCGCUAUGAACUGACCUACCGCAAGAAGGAUGAUAACCUGGAUGUUACUACCUACAUUGUGCUCCUCCUGGAGAAGAAUUCUGUGCAGAUCAUGGAUCUUCACAGCAUUGCCGAUCCCUCAAAGACACCUGAACAUCUGGAAGAACUGGAUGUGCACUUUGUUGAAUGAGAUUUUGCCUGAAGUCACUGUUGUCCUUGCUCACCUAUCUUAUGCAAAUAUGUGUUUUUGUGUAUGCAGAAUGUCAGCCAGGCUUCUUCAAAGACGCACCAUCCAUGUGUUCUGCUUUAUCGAGUAGGCUACAUUUCCUCAUUUCAAACAGAUUUGACGAAAUCUGUCAAAACUGAAACAACUAAUCGCUAUAAACUAAAACUCACUUUUCACAUGUGGAAACCUGUACUUUGACAGUGGAAAAGCUGGAACAAUAUAUUUUGUACACACUGAAAUCUUCACUUUUGACAUCAAUAGUAAGUAAUCUUUGAGUUUAUCCAUCACCGUAAGUAACAUAUGUCACAAAACAAAUGUUUGUGUUUCUUUGAGGAGAGAAUCUAAGUCUAUCACUUCUUAGCCAUGAAAUGCCAGGAUUCCAUUUUUUUUAACCACGUGUAUAGAUAGUUAGACAGAUAGAUAGACAGAUAAGUAAGUAGAUGGAUUCAGUAGAAAUAUACAUUUGAUUGAUAGAAACAGUUGAUAGAUAGAUACAACAAUUUUAACUUUAAUAUAACACUGCCAAGUAGUACUCUGUGCAUUAGUAGCAGCAAGUUAACAUUGUUGUAUAGCAUGGUGCCUACAAUUGAAUUUGAAUAUUAAACAUGUAGCUUCACCAUCAAGCCCUCUAUCCACAGUGAGAUUGUCCUAUAUAUAGUAGAGGGAAUAGAGAGGGAGGAGAAUAGAAAACAAAUAGAUGGGUGGAGAUUCAAAGUCGUCAGCAAACAUGCAUUCAUGUAUUCUCCCCUAUUUCUCUCUCUCUUUCUCUCCCCUCCCCACACUUUGUCACUCUCUCCUCCUAUACAGAAAAGUCAGCCAAUGCAUCAGCCUGCCGCUCAUCUGCUCUCACUCCCCCCAGCCUCAGAUCCUCUCUGCUCCUCCGCUGACUGACACUGCCGAUACCUCUCUCUCUCUUCCCUUCCUUCCUCCCCUUUAUUCAUCCCUCUCACCUCCUCAUCCUCAAGCCACCAUGGUGAACGGAUAACCUCCCAGCCGUCCUGACACCAUGGGUGCCUGCCUCUGCAAAGGUCACAAAGAGCUCCACUAUCCCAUGACGGUUCGGCAGGAUCAGACUGUGGAGGGUCAGCCAUCAUCUGUCGAGGUGAGUCACAUUUACUGUAGAUAGAUUUUUGCAGAUUUAAACAGAAAGCUACACAUUUUGGCUUUUACAUUCUCCAAGCCCCAGAGUUAUAACAGUUUUAAAGGGGCCCUAUGAUGCACAUUUUCAGGUUAAUUUCUUAUUUUGUGCCUCUACUGUGACAUGUUUACAUGAUUUAAUGUUUGAAAAGCUCUUUAUUUUUCUCAUACUGCCUGUGCUGCAGCACUUCUUUUCACCCUCUGUCUGAAACCAGAGCCCAGUCUGCUCUGAUUGGUUAACCGCGUAAAGAUGUCCCGUCCCUUAGCCCAUCACUUACGAUGUGUUUAAGAGUUAGCCAAUAGAAGCGAUUGUGUUACGUAGUGAUGUCAUGGAAGUAAACAAAGGAGUCCUAUCGCAAUGUUUAAGGUAGGGGGGAGAGUGUGGGAGAGAAACUCCCUUUAUCGUGAACUUUGAGAUUUUAGCCUUUGGACAAAAAUCUAUAUAACACACAAAGCAUAGUAGGGCCUCUUAGAAUAGCUAUUUUCGAGAAAAAAUAUAGUCCCUAAAAAACUCUGAUGCUGAGUUCUGUGAACUAUGCAGAGUAAUGGGUUGGCAAUUAAAAAAAAACUACAAACGCUUUAAUGUUUUUUAAAAAGACAUCUAUUAAAGGUAAUGUGUGUGCUUUGGAUGGCUGUGGUCGGGUCGAAACAAAAUGUUAGUUGGUUCAAAUAAUACAAGCUAUCUCAGAUCAACUUAUCAUGUAAAAAUGAUUGCAAAACCAAUAUCGAUGCAUUAUAUCCACAGCUGAUAGGGAACAAAUGUGCAUAAACAUAUAUGAAAUAACUAACUCAAAAAGAAUACAUGUAAAGAUUAUAGUUCUAGAUUAUAAAUCAAAUGUACAGAUGUUGGAGAGAAUGUGGUGAGCAGAUCAUAAAACACAGUCAUAUUUUGGUCAUGUAAAGCUAUUAGUGGUUUCUGGGAACAUUUUAUGUAGAGAACUGAAAUAACUUGUUUUUCUCUCCAAUAAUCCUUGACUACAGUACACUAUUAUAUAAACUCCAUUCAUUUAAAUUGUGUUGGGGUAGAGGAAGAAACUUGCACAAACAAUAUCUCAAAUCUGGGAAAAUAAAACUAAAUGACUAAUUCCAUUAGAGAAAAUAUGUUUCUCUGUGAUAAGGAUGAACUAACCCUUUCAGUGUUUGCCUGCACAGUUCUACUGAUCGAGUGAAAGUGAAAGUAUCAGAAUGAUCACAUUAUGGGCCUGCAUAAAGGAUAUGAAAUUAUUUUAACACAAACAGCAUGGCUCAGAUUAACUUGCUAUUUAGAUGAUUAUCUGCUUAUUAAUGAACAUGUUUACUGUACAGUGAGAUGAAUGCAGCUGUUUGGCUCUAUUUUACGGUGUAUAUCUUUUUAACAAACAACAUGUUGAGUCUGUUCCUCAGCCCGGCACCAGCACAAUCCCCAUGCUUGUUUCUGGAGUGAAAUUACCAAGAUUAUGCUUUUUCUCUAUAUUUGUCUAUUCACAAUAGUAACAUCACUAGAAUUCUACAAAAUAUUUAAUAUUGAACUUUUUAUCCUUGUUACUUUAGGGUAAAUUUGUAUUUACAGUUGACUAACAUUUACCAUAAUUUGUACUUUUACCGUGCUUCGCUACAUGUUAGCUAAUGUCAUGUAGUUUAUGUAGGCCUAAAUCCUUCACAAUUCUAGUGUCUCCAUAAGUAUUGAAUCAGAUACUGGUCAUAUGCAGUGGCGGACUUGCCAUCGGGACGAAUCCCGAUGGGCCGGUACUGAAGUGGGUCGGUCGGACGAUGUGGGCCGGUCGGAUAAGUCACUAGAACCCCCCCCCGUUGACAAUUUACUAGUGGUAUUUACUUGCGGUACCGAGGUGGGCCAGUCUGAUAAGUCACUAGCAUCCACCCCCCCGCCCCGUUGACAAUUUACUAGCGGUAACGAAGUGGGCCGAUCGAGAGUCCCGGGCUGAUUUUUAGCCCCUGGUCAGAUGUAUAUGGUUCUUGUAUAAAAUGAUUUAUUGUAAGUAAAGAAGAACUAACAAAACAGUAAUUGUUUGAAUUUACAAGUUUGAUGUCAAUCUACCUGUAGCUCAUAUUGCUAGCUAGCUGGGAAGCUACUAGCAAAAGAAACUAUAGGUUACUUACGUAACCCCAGUUCUCAGAGUAACAUGAAGUGAGAUGUC
Molecule: long non-coding RNA, 3545 nt
Organism: Gymnodraco acuticeps
Lineage: Eukaryota; Metazoa; Chordata; Actinopteri; Perciformes; Bathydraconidae
Exons: 3
Source: RefSeq, a predicted model, not a curated record